This is a long non-coding RNA of Grammomys surdaster, 881 nucleotides long. RefSeq lists it as uncharacterized. The transcript has 3 exons. NCBI's taxonomy places the organism in Eukaryota, Metazoa, Chordata, Mammalia, Rodentia, Muridae. The record is from RefSeq and is a predicted model, not a curated record.
AAUGAGACAUUGAUUUCCAGCUGUGUUAGCAUAAUUUCUCUUCAUCAUUAAACAAUCAAUGUGGCUACAGAUACAAGGGACAUUGCAGGGACAGAGGUUAUGGUCAUGUUGGUGGCAUUGAGGAAGGAACAAACCGUGUCCACAUGCACCUUGGCCGAGGAUGUAUGAUGGACAUGUUCUUCCCCUCAUCAGCACCAUCCUGGUUAUGCCAUCCAGCUUGUCUGUGAGCCAUCUUGGGGAAAGGCAGGGUACGGAUAUAAAUCAGCAUGGGCUCCCAGGAGCCUCACCCGAGUCCUGUAUUCUCACCCAUGUACUCCAGGGAAGGCCGGGCACAACAAGACAGAGAGAGGGUUUAGGGUUACGGCAGCCUCCCUCAAGCAACCUCUCAAUGCUGCUACUUUGAGUGGGUUUCUGCUACUCCAGAUUGCCACUGGACCUUGCACAACAGGCUGAUGGGAAAGCCCCUGGUUGCGUGAUGGUCAAUGGUGAUGAGAAGGCAGAAGGAGACAUAGUCCUGUGGUCCUGCAAUUAUUUGUGAUAGGAGAGGAAUCUGGAAGAUUAUGAAACAGUGCCAGGCUGCCUUAUGUGGUGGACUGCCAGCCCCGGCAAAUUGCCAGUUGCCCUCAUUGCAGCCGGCUGCUUUGAACUCUCCUGGACGCCUUGGGGAUCUCAGCUGCAAUCAGCUACUGGUUCGGAAGCAGGAUGCUGGUUCCAGAGUCACAUCCCACCCACACAGUGGUUUCAAACAGCUUGCGAGAAACGUAGUGCCCACCACUAGCCUCUUUGAACUCUAGAUGACCCUGUAACCAUUUCCACUCACACCAGAAAGGAGCCUUCUCUUGUUGGACUGAGAAUGAAGGACUGUGUGGAGUUGGUGCGAA